CAGUCGCCGCGGGAAUACGUAGGGUGCAAGCGUUACUCGGAAUUACUGGGCGUAAAGGGUGCGUAGGUGGUUUUUUAAGUCCGUUGUGAAAUCCCUGGGCUCAACCUGGGAAUGGCAGUGGAUUCUGGAAAGCUAGAGUGCGGUAGAGGGUAGUGGAAUUCCCGGUGUAGCAGUGAAAUGCGUAGAGAUCGGGAGGAACAUCAGUGGCGAAGGCGGCCAUCUGGGACAACACUGACGCUGAGGCACGAAAGCGUGGGGAGCAAACAGGAUUAGAUACCCCCGUAGUCCCUGUCUCUUAUAC
This 301-nucleotide ribosomal RNA is filed under the name uncultured bacterium. RNAcentral describes it as "partial 16S ribosomal RNA". It matches the Rfam family "Bacterial small subunit ribosomal RNA", at positions 509 to 807 of the family's 1533-position model. The record is from RNAcentral.